Long non-coding RNA from Gambusia affinis (western mosquitofish), 662 nucleotides. RefSeq lists it as uncharacterized. The record is from RefSeq and is a predicted model, not a curated record. The transcript has 3 exons. Lineage: Eukaryota; Metazoa; Chordata; Actinopteri; Cyprinodontiformes; Poeciliidae.
CAGGUUCUCAUCUCAGUCCAUCUGUUCUUGUACUUAGUCUGCUGUUGGCGUGCUGCGUGACUCUAAUUGUUGCUCUUAUUGUCUACAUAAAACUAUCAGUUGUUGGACAUUGUGAAGGGGCAGAUACAGGCCCAUCUGGAAAAUGCAAGUCAUCGAGGAACCAGGCAACAGACACAGGUGCUCGUGGAGAUGAAGCCAAUUAUGUAGCUCUUAAUUUCUCCACAAGGAAGACAAAAGGUGUGAAGAAGAGAACAGAACCACCACCAGAGUGUGUGUACUCAGCUGUAAGAGGAGGUCGUCCCACACUGCAUGAAAUGUCUUAGAGCAGGACAUGUGUGUGUAGAGCUUGGACACAAUGUGCUUGCAUGACUGACAACAAAUUAACAUUGUGCAUUUGUUGGUUUUCAAGUUUUGUAGAUUUGACUAUUCAAGUUUUUAACCAUGCUUUUUGCAAACAUUUCUUAUAUGAUUUAAUAUAAAAUGUCUUUGUACAGAAAUUGUUCACAAUAAAGGCUUCACAAUAAAAUGGAGCCAUUUGUGCUUUUUACUGUAAAAUAUAAAAUAUGUAAACUUACUUUGGCAUACAUUUGAAAAAGAGCCUUUGUUUUGCACUAUGAAGUGACAGCUGAUGUGUUUGUGUGAAUGAUCGUAAUUUACCCAUU